UUUAAUAUAGUUCUAGCUUUCGACUAUGUUUUAGUCAUCAAGGAUUCCUGAUGAUGACUAAAACAUAGUCGAAAGCUAGAACUGUAUUAA
This is a non-coding RNA of Paramuricea clavata, 90 nucleotides long. The record is from the annotation of a GenBank genome assembly. Lineage: Eukaryota; Metazoa; Cnidaria; Anthozoa; Malacalcyonacea; Plexauridae.